RNAcentral lists this ribosomal RNA (409 nucleotides) under uncultured microorganism. Its description in RNAcentral is "bacterial SSU rRNA". It matches the Rfam family "Archaeal small subunit ribosomal RNA", at positions 330 to 745 of the family's 1478-position model. The record is from RNAcentral.
GUGCAGCAGGCGCGAAACCUCUGCAAUGCGCGCAAGCGCGACAGGGCUACCCUGAGUGCCGCCCGCUGAGGGCGGCUUUCUCCGGUGUAAUGAGUCGGAGGAAUAAGGGAGGGCGAGCCUGGUGUCAGCCGCCGCGGUGAUACCAGCUCCCCGAGUGGUGGGACGGUUAUUGGGCCUAAAGCGUCCGUAGCCGGUUCGGCAAGUCCUCCGUUAAAGCCAACGAUCCAAUCGUUGGAAUGCGGGGGACACUGCCGGACUAGGGGGCGGGAGAGGCCGACGGUACUCCUGGGGUAGGGUGAAAUCCUAUAAUCCCAGGAGGACCACCAGUGGCGAAGGCGGUCGGCCAGAACGCGCCCGACGGUGAGGGACGAAAGCUGGGGGAGCGAUCCGGAUUAGAUACCCCUGUAGU